This 253-nucleotide ribosomal RNA is filed under the name uncultured bacterium. RNAcentral describes it as "partial 16S ribosomal RNA". It matches the Rfam family "Bacterial small subunit ribosomal RNA", at positions 524 to 776 of the family's 1533-position model. The record is from RNAcentral.
GACGGAGGGGGCUAGCGUUGUUCGGAAUGACUGGGGGUAAAGGGCGCGUAGGCGGUGUUUUAAGUGAGGCGUGAAAGCCCUGGGCUUAACCCAGGAGGUGCGUUUCAUACUGGAAUGCUAGAGUGCGAGAGAGGAAAGUGGAAUUCCUAGUGUAGAGGUGAAAUUCGUAGAUAUUAGGAAGAACACCAGAGGCGAAGGCGGCUUUCUGGCUCGCAACUGACGCUGAGGCGCGAAAGCGUGGGGAGCAAACAGG